AUUGAACGCUGGCGGCAGGCUUAACACAUGCAAGUCGAGCGAGCGGCGGACGGGUUAGUAAUUUCUGGGAAACUGCCUGAUGGAGGGGGAUAACUACUGGAAACGGUAGCUAAUACCGCAUACCAUCAGAUGUGCCCAGAUGGGAGUAGCUAGUAGGUGGGGUAAUGGCUCACCUAGGCGACGAUCCCGAGCGGGUCUGAGAGGAUGACCAGCAACACUGGAACUGAGACACGGUCCAGAGUCGUACGGGAGGCAGCAGUGGGGAAUAUUGCACAAUGGGCGAAAGCCUGAUGCAGCCAUGCCGCGUGUGUGAAGAAGGCCUUCGGGUUGUAAAGCACUUUCAGCGAGGAGGCGUUACUCGCAGAAGAAGCAACGGCUAACUCCGUGCCAGCAGCCGCGGUAAUUC
RNAcentral lists this ribosomal RNA (406 nucleotides) under uncultured bacterium. Its description in RNAcentral is "partial 16S ribosomal RNA". It matches the Rfam family "Bacterial small subunit ribosomal RNA", at positions 30 to 526 of the family's 1533-position model. The record is from RNAcentral.